Molecule: ribosomal RNA, 897 nt
Filed under: uncultured archaeon
Lineage: Archaea
Description: bacterial SSU rRNA
Rfam family: Archaeal small subunit ribosomal RNA
Source: RNAcentral
UUCCGGUUGAUCCUGCCGGACCCUACUGCUAUCGGGGUGGGACUAAGACAUGCGAGUUGUGCGUCUCUAAGCUAUGGUAGAGACGCAGCGUACGGCUCAGUAACACGUGGCCAACCUGCCCUUAGGACGGGAACACCCCCGGGAAACUGGGGUUAAUUCCCGAUAGGUGAAGGAGUCUGGAAUGACCCUUCGCCCAAAAGACGUUUAUGUCAUGCUCAUAUUCGUCGCCCAGGGAUGGGGCCGCGACCGAUCAGGUAGUUGGUGAGGCAAUGGCUCACCAAGCCUUUUACCGGUGCGGGCCGUGAGAGCGGGAGCCCGGAGAUGGGCACUGAGACAAUGGCCCAGGCCCCACGGGGCGCAGCAGUCGCGAAAAUUUUGCAAUACACGAAAGUGUGACAGAGCUAUCCCGAGUGCCAUCCGCUGAGGAAGGCUUUUACCCAGUAUAAAUAGCUGGGAGAGUAAGGAGAGGGCAAGUCUGGUGUCAGCCGCCGCGGUAAUACCAGCUCUCCGGGUAGUGUGGACGUUUGUUGGGCCCAAAGCAUCCGUAGCUUGCUAGAUAAGUCCUCUGUUAAAUCCACCGAUUCAAUCGUUGGAUUGCGGGGGAUACUGUUUGGCUAGGGGACGGGAGAGGUCGACGGUAUUCCCGGGGUAGGGGUGAAAUCCUAUAAUCCCGGGAGGACCACCAGUGGCGAAGGCUGUCGACUAGAACGCGCGCGACGGUGAGGGAUGAAAGCUGGGGGAGCGAACCGGAUUAGAUACCCGGGUAGUCCCAGCUGUAAACGAUGCAGGCUAGGUGUUUGGGCGGCCACGAGCCGCCCUAGUGCCGCAGGGAAGCUGUUAAGCCUGCCGCCUGGGGAGUACGGCCGCAAGGCUGAAACUUAAAGGAAUUGGCGGGGG